RNAcentral lists this ribosomal RNA (501 nucleotides) under uncultured bacterium. RNAcentral describes it as "partial 16S ribosomal RNA". It matches the Rfam family "Bacterial small subunit ribosomal RNA", at positions 30 to 523 of the family's 1533-position model. The record is from RNAcentral.
AUUGAACGCUGGCGGCAUGCCUUACACAUGCAAGUCGAACGGCAGCACGGGUGCUUGCACCUGGUGGCGAGUGGCGAACGGGUGAGUAAUAUAUCGGAACGUACCUUUUUGUGGGGGAUAACGCAGCGAAAGCUGUGCUAAUACCGCAUAAUCCCUAAGGGGGAAAGCGGGGGACCGUAAGGCCUCGCGCAAUUAGAGCGGCCGAUACCUGAUUAGCUAGUUGGUGAGGUAAAGGCUCACCAAGGAAACGAUCAGUAGCUGGUCUGAGAGGACGAUCAGCCACACUGGGACUGAGACACGGCCCAGACUCCUACGGGAGGCAGCAGUGGGGAAUUUUGGACAAUGGUGGCAACCCUGAUCCAGCAAUGCCGCGUGAGUGAAGAAGGCCUUCGGGUUGUAAAGCUCUUUUGUCAGGGAAGAAACAGCAGCUCUAACACAGUUUGCGAAUGACGGUACCUGAAGAAUAAGCACCGGCUAACUACGUGCCAGCCGCCGCCGUAA